This 484-nucleotide ribosomal RNA is filed under the name uncultured bacterium. RNAcentral describes it as "partial 16S ribosomal RNA". It matches the Rfam family "Bacterial small subunit ribosomal RNA", at positions 28 to 507 of the family's 1533-position model. The record is from RNAcentral.
AUUGAACGCUGGCGGCAUGCUUUACACAUGCAAGUCGAACGGCAGCGCGGGCUUCGGCCUGGCGGCGAGUGGCGAACGGGUGAGUAAUGCAUCGGAACGUGCCCAGCAGUGGGGGAUAGCCCGGCGAAAGCCGGAUUAAUACCGCAUACGACCUGAGGGUGAAAGCGGGGGAGCGAAAGGCCUCGCGCUAUGGGAGCGGCCGAUGUCGGAUUAGCUAGUUGGUGGGGUAAAGGCUUACCAAGGCGACGAUCCGUAGCUGGUCUGAGAGGACGACCAGCCACACUGGGACUGAGACACGGCCCAGACUCCUACGGGAGGCAGCAGUGGGGAAUUUUGGACAAUGGGGGCAACCCUGAUCCAGCCAUGCCGCGUGCGGGAAGAAGGCCUUCGGGUUGUAAACCGCUUUUGUUCGGGAAGAAAUCCUCUGGGCUAAUACCCCGGGGGGAUGACGGUACCGGAAGAAUAAGCACCGGCUAACUACGUG